CUCGGAUGACGCAGCGCUGUGACGUAGCGGUGGGCUCCUACUGAACUUCCCAGGAUUCUCAGGAGGAUCCUCGGCGUCCAGACCCCAGCUGGCUUCAGGUCAGGUCAGAAGUAUUUCAGUCACAGCCCUGUCAUGAAAAAGGAAACCAUACCAACAUUUUAACAGAGAGGAGUCCUGGAGGCCUGAAAAGCCAAAAGACAAGAGGAUAAUUAGUGUCUCCUGUUGGCAGAAGCCAGACUGCAAAACAUGGAUGGAGUCUCUACAUUUCCAUCCCAGCACCACAGAGCCAAUUACAGAACACCCCACUCCCCAGUGAUCAGGAUUCGAGGCCAUUUAGGCUAUCCCGAUUUCCAGCUACAUCUGUUCUCCAGGCAAGAUGUCAAAGAAUUCUUCUCAGAAGACACUAAAAGUCUCCACAGAGAAGACCUCCAACUAUUGGUAUUUGGGGUCAAUGAAAGAAAAGGCUGACACCCCAUCUAGAGUAUCUUACAUUCCAGAAAGUAACAAUGCCUAUGUCAGCAAUAAAGAUCCUAAAUAUUUUACAGAAAAAAAGAACACAGAUCACAUACAAAGGAAUAAGAAUCUGAAUCGCUUUGGACUGAUCAACUGCAAACC
Molecule: long non-coding RNA, 615 nt
Organism: Manis javanica (Malayan pangolin)
Lineage: Eukaryota; Metazoa; Chordata; Mammalia; Pholidota; Manidae
Source: RefSeq, a predicted model, not a curated record